CUCAUAUCCUAAACAAUCCAGCAAAAUAGCUACAUGAACUAAAAAGAAAUGCACAAUAAACACAAUCAUGUUUCUGUCGUUAUAUACAAUUACAUAGCAUAAUGGGAUGAAUGGGUACAAACAAAAAUAAAGAAAAUACAAUAUUUAUAGCAAACAGUUCAGAAAUUGUACAAUUACCAUGGUGCAGGGCAGAUGUAGGUAACCUUUGGCACUCCAGAUGUUGUGGACUACAUAUCCCUUGAUGCUUUGCCUGGAAGAUUUGCUUUGGAAGAUGCAGUCUACAACAUCUGUAGUGCCAAAGAUUGCCAACCCCUGAUGUAGGGCAAAGAAGAAUUGUAAUGAAUAAAACGUGAAAAUGGCGGUAUCACAAGAUUUAUAAACACCUAAACAAAGCACCCCAGGAAAG
Non-coding RNA from Pelobates cultripes (western spadefoot toad), 406 nucleotides. The record is from the annotation of a GenBank genome assembly. Lineage: Eukaryota; Metazoa; Chordata; Amphibia; Anura; Pelobatidae.